This is a long non-coding RNA of Propithecus coquereli (Coquerel's sifaka), 734 nucleotides long. RefSeq lists it as uncharacterized. The transcript has 3 exons. NCBI's taxonomy places the organism in Eukaryota, Metazoa, Chordata, Mammalia, Primates, Indriidae. The record is from RefSeq and is a predicted model, not a curated record.
GGCAGUUGGGAGUUGGAGGAGUGCAGGGAAGGAGGUGGGACCAGUGUCAACCUGGAGUAGCUCUACAGUAACUCUGGCAGCCUUUUGUUGCUGGGACAUCCACACAGGCAAUUUAGCUGGCAAAAGGACUCUGGAUUGGUUGGCAGCCUGCUCUUCAUUUCCAAGGUGAUCACUCUACUGUAGAAGAAAUGGGGUUGACAGACAAGAGUGUGGGAGAACAACAGCUCAAGCCCAACAACUCUGAUGCACCCAAUGAAGAUCAAAGAGAAGAAGUUCAACAGCAAGAAGAGCGUACUCCAGUAGGGCAGCGAACACAAAGAGCAGGCACACAGCCAUCCAGAUGUCAAUUGCCUUCACGUACGACACCUAGAACAUCCAUCAACAGAAGAGUCAACUUUCCUGGAAUCCUUCCAUGGCCUAUGCAGUGGGUUUCCAGCCCGUAUCAAUUGCCUGAUGUUCUUCAGUUUUAUCCUGAACUUCUUCUGGUUUUCAAAGAAGCUUUCCACGAUAUGGCCCAUUGUCUGAAGGCCCAUAUCGAAGAGAUCGGGCUACCUAUCCUCCUCCAACUCUCUGCACUCUCCAACUUCUACUUCUACCUGCCUGUCCUUCCUAUACUUCUUUUCCUCUAUUUCUUUACUCUUUUUGUGCUUCUCCUUCUGCUUCUGAUUAUUCUUUUCAUUCUUAUCUUCUCUUGAUUCCUUUCUUUCAAUAAACAGCAAUGAACAUGAACACUG